GGGGUUGUAGCUCAGUGGUAGAGCACUUGCCUAACAUGCAUGAGAUCCUGGGUUUGAUCUCAGCACCACA
RNAcentral lists this transfer RNA (70 nucleotides) under Marmota monax (woodchuck). Its description in RNAcentral is "tRNA.Val". It matches the Rfam family "tRNA". Rfam says of the family: Transfer RNA (tRNA) molecules are approximately 80 nucleotides in length. Their secondary structure includes four short double-helical elements and three loops (D, anti-codon, and T loops). The record is from RNAcentral. Lineage: Eukaryota; Metazoa; Chordata; Mammalia; Rodentia; Sciuridae.